CUAUUGAACAGCUUUCAAUCAUUCCAGAUCCGGCGGCAACCAGGAAACAAUGCGACAAGGUACCAGCUUGUCCCACAACACAACCACCUACCACUCCACAAGCAACUACCACCCAACCCACCACCACACAACCCGCCACUACACACGCUGCCACCACACCAGCUCAUGUCACCGCACAUCCUUCUACUAAAUCCAUGUCAGCUCCUCCUGGCCAGUUUGUUGUUCCACAUUUCUCGACUGCUGGUUCGUAUCUCCAGUUUGAUGCGCUUGGCUCCUCUUGUGGAUUCUUGUUGGAGAUGAGUUUUACGGUCACGGGUAGUGAUGGCAUUAUGUUUUAUGCUGAUGAUGUGGACAGUGGGGACUUUGUGGCUUAGUCAUAUGAGAACAGAGUUGUAGUGUUGAGAGUUAAUGAUGGCAGUGGGACUGUGACUGUUGAAUCUGAAGGCAAGAAAUUAAAAAAAGGUGAACAAUUCAAAGCCGUCGUUUCAAUCAAGAAAUCGACAAUUACACUGAACGUUGAGAGUCGUAAACGUGCUACGAAAAAUCGAGGUCAAAGAGAGAGGUUCAUACUCACUAAUGUUUUUGUUGGAGACAUUCCUAGUGAUCAACAGACUAUUGAUGAUGCGCAAGUCGUUUGUGGUUUCAAGGCUGCGUUCACUUGCUCAACAUCAACGAACAAGACAUCGACUUACAGUCCUUUGCAGCAUCGAAUUCCGUGUUUCAGUGUGGUGAUAGGCCACCAGAUGAUGUACACAUCAUCUGCUGAGAAAACCACAACAACACAAGCAUCCACAGCUACACAACCACCUCUUCCAUUGGGCACUCUUUCUUUUGCUGCUGCCUCUUACCUUGCAUUUGAUUCUCUUGAAGACUUGCAGUCAUUUGUACUCGACAUGGAGUUUAUUGUUACUGGGAAUGACGGACUGAUGUUUUAUGUUGCGAAUAAGAAGAGUGGAGAUUUUAUAUCGGCUUUGUACUUGGAGAGACGCAUAAGAAUGAGUGUAAACAAUGGAUCUGCAGCAUUGCA
Corticium candelabrum is the source of this 1027-nucleotide long non-coding RNA. RefSeq lists it as uncharacterized. The record is from RefSeq and is a predicted model, not a curated record. The transcript has 4 exons. Lineage: Eukaryota; Metazoa; Porifera; Homoscleromorpha; Homosclerophorida; Plakinidae.